Molecule: long non-coding RNA, 887 nt
Organism: Daphnia pulicaria
Lineage: Eukaryota; Metazoa; Arthropoda; Branchiopoda; Diplostraca; Daphniidae
Exons: 5
Source: RefSeq, a predicted model, not a curated record
GAACUUUUUCAAAAAUGGUGGAUGUUAAAAAUAAUCUUCAUCAACAUCAGAAGUCAACAGAUUCACCUAUUAUCAGUACACAACAUCAAGUGGAACUUAUACUACCUGUCUAUCAAUAGUAUAAAUGUAAUUUUCAAUUAAUUAUCACCACCAACCCCAGCAUGGACUAAUCUCUCAUUCCAUCUUUUAGAGAACCUUGGAUAAAACUGAUUGGUGGUUUCAUGUGUUCCAAAUUAAAGGUUUCUAAAUUGGUAUGAUAGACUUUAUGAGAACUCAUGUCAUUUCAAGAAAAAGGACUAGAUACAGUCAACAAAAUUCCUUGUUUGCUAACCCAUUGACUGUUACCCUUGAAUCUCCCUGUUUUUCAACAACAACAAAAAAAAAGAGGUUCAUAUUGUGAUCAUGCUAUCAUAAAUAUAUGGCCUUUAUAUGAUCAAAUGUGUUGUUGUCCCUCCAAAAUAAGUCAAUGACCACACGUCCAACACAGAUUAUUCGUUUUGUCAUAGAACUUGACUCAUUCCCUCUUCUGGAUUGCUCAGGAAACCUGAUUGGCGUUAUCUGUCCAUUUAGGUAAUGACCGAGAAGAUGCGGCCUACAUGAAUAUCAUUUCGGCGGCCAUUAUCAUUCGACUACCCAACCGGCUUCUACUACCCUGGUCUCAUCACAGCACGGAGUUUUACCCUUAAGAUUUUUGGCUGUUCGCGAUGUGUGAUAUUUCGUUAGAUGAGAUGAUGUUGAUUUUGGCGAGAAAAAUAUUGCGUGAGUAACUAAUAUUUUUUCUUUAUAUUUGAUUCAAUCUAAAGAGGUCACACAAUUUUACUGCAUUGAUCGUCAUUAUACCCUUUUAUUAUCAUUUCCAUACUACAGAGCUAAAAAAUAAAACUAUC